RNAcentral lists this ribosomal RNA (396 nucleotides) under uncultured bacterium. RNAcentral describes it as "bacterial SSU rRNA". It matches the Rfam family "Bacterial small subunit ribosomal RNA", at positions 28 to 420 of the family's 1533-position model. The record is from RNAcentral.
GACGAACGCUGGCGGCGUGCCUAACACAUGCAAGUCGAACGGGGUCCAUGGGAGCUUGCUCCCAGAAGACCUAGUGGCGAACGGGUGAGUAACACGUGAGAAACCUGCCCUGGAGUGGGGAAUAACUCGGGGAAACUCGAGCUAAUACCGCAUACCCUCGGAUGGUCGCAUGGCCGACCGAGGAAAGAUUCAUCGCUUCAGGAGGGUCUCGCGGCCUAUCAGCUAGUUGGUGGGGUAACGCCUACCAAGGCAACGACGGGUAGCUGGUUUGAGAGAACGAUCAGCCACACUGGGACUGAGACACGGCCCAGACUCCUACGGGAGGCAGCAGUGGGGAAUCUUGCGCAAUGGGCGAAAGCCUGACGCAGCAACGCCGCGUGCGGAUGACGGCCUCGU